GAGCUGCGGGAAGGGAGCUGUGGUCAAAGCGAACCGGCUGAGAAGGAAGCUGAAGAGAUGGAGUGGAGGUCAGAUUUCUGAGCCUCCUGGAGGCUGCACCUUCAGAUGAUCAGAUAUGUGGCAGGAGUGGGAAAGGGACACAGAAAGAAGGAGGAUCCGUUUCUCUAAUCCAUGAUGAUCUGGAGACUUUAAUAUGGGAUUUAUGAUGGCUAAAGAGCAUUACCUACCCAAGAGGAACCUUUAAUCCAGGGAGGAAGUUAUGAGUUUUUGGUUCAUUUUGUGGUCAACCUCAUUCCUUCUAGUUUUGUCUAUGGCCUAGGCGAGAGAAAAUAAUUGGAAAUGCUAUGAUGAAAAUAAUAGAACGAUUCCUCUUGUUGCUAUGGUGACAAGAAUAAAUUGAAUCCAUUGCUCUGAAAAA
This is a long non-coding RNA of Homo sapiens (human), 418 nucleotides long. NCBI's taxonomy places the organism in Eukaryota, Metazoa, Chordata, Mammalia, Primates, Hominidae. The record is from Ensembl.